CACGUAGGGGGCAAGCGUUGUCCGGAUUUCUUGGGCGUAAAGAGCUCGUAGGCUGCUCAGUAAGUCGGGUGUGAAACCUCCAGGCUCAACCUGGAGACGCCACCCGAUACUGCUGUGGCUUGAGUCCGGUAGGGGAGCGUGGAAUUCCUGGUGUAGCGGUGAAAUGCGUAGAUAUUCGGAAGAACACCAGUGGCGAAGGCGGCUCACUGGCCCGGUACUGACGCUGAGGUGCGAAAGCGUGGGGAGCAAACAGG
RNAcentral lists this ribosomal RNA (254 nucleotides) under uncultured bacterium. RNAcentral's name for it is "partial 16S ribosomal RNA". It matches the Rfam family "Bacterial small subunit ribosomal RNA", at positions 524 to 776 of the family's 1533-position model. The record is from RNAcentral.